Molecule: ribosomal RNA, 1380 nt
Filed under: uncultured bacterium
Lineage: Bacteria
Description: bacterial SSU rRNA
Rfam family: Bacterial small subunit ribosomal RNA
Source: RNAcentral
UCAGAUUGAACGCUGGCGGCAGGCCUAACACAUGCAAGUCGAACGGCAGCACAGAAGAGCUUGCUCUUUGGGUGGCGAGUGGCGGACGGGUGAGUAAUGUCUGGGAAACUGCCCGAUGGAGGGGGAUAACUACUGGAAACGGUAGCUAAUACCGCAUAACGUCGCAAGACCAAAGUGGGGGACCUUCGGGCCUCACACCAUCAGAUGUGCCCAGAUGGGAUUAGCUAGUAGGUGGGGUAAUGGCUCACCUAGGCGACGAUCCCUAGCUGGUCUGAGAGGAUGACCAGCCACACUGGAACUGAGACACGGUCCAGACUCCUACGGGAGGCAGCAGUGGGGAAUAUUGCACAAUGGGCGCAAGCCUGAUGCAGCCAUGCCGCGUGUAUGAAGAAGGCCUUCGGGUUGUAAAGUACUUUCAGCGGGGAGGAAGGCGGUGAGGUUAAUAACCUUGCCGAUUGACGUUACCCGCAGAAGAAGCACCGGCUAACUCCGUGCCAGCACCCGCGGUAAUACGGAGGGUGCAAGCGUUAAUCGAAAUUACUGGGCGUAAAGCGCACGCAGGCGGUCUGUUAAGUCAGAUGUGAAAUCCCCGGGCUUAACCUGGGGAACUGCAUUUGAAACUGGCAGGCUUGAGUCUCGUAGAGGGGGGUAGAAUUCCAGGUGUAGCGGUGAAAUGCGUAGAGAUCUGGAGGAAUACCGGUGGCGAAGGCGGCCCCCUGGACGAAGACUGACGCUCAGGUGCGAAAGCGUGGGGAGCAAACAGGAUUAGAUACCCUGGUAGUCCACGCCGUAAACGAUGUCGACUUGGAGGUUGUGCCCUUGAGGCGUGGCUUCCGGAGCUAACGCGUUAAGUCGACCGCCUGGGGAGUACGGCCGCAAGGUUAAAACUCAAAUGAAUUGACGGGGGCCCGCACAAGCGGUGGAGCAUGUGGUUUAAUUCGAUGCAACGCGAAGAACCUUACCUGGCCUUGACAUCCAGAGAACUUAGCAGAGAUGCUUUGGUGCCUUCGGGAACUCUGAGACAGGUGCUGCAUGGCUGUCGUCAGCUCGUGUUGUGAAAUGUUGGGUUAAGUCCCGCAACGAGCGCAACCCUUAUCCUUUGUUGCCAGCGAUUCGGUCGGGAACUCAAAGGAGACUGCCGGUGAUAAACCGGAGGAAGGUGGGGAUGACGUCAAGUCAUCAUGGCCCUUACGGCCAGGGCUACACACGUGCUACAAUGGCGCAUACAAAGAGAAGCGACCUCGCGAGAGCAAGCGGACCUCAUAAAGUGCGUCGUAGUCCGGAUUGGAGUCUGCAACUCGACUCCAUGAAGUCGGAAUCGCUAGUAAUCGUAGAUCAGAAUGCUACGGUGAAUACGUUCCCGGGCCUUGUACACACCGC